UAUGCAUGAAGAUCCUUGUUUGAAUUCCAUACAGGAGCUUUUUGAACGACACCAUCGGCUAAAAUUCCACUUCCAUUUUCCACACCAACCAGAGGAUCAGAUUCACUUUCCUUGACCUCAGGCAAUUUUGUCGACGCUUCACUGGCCUUCUGCUGAUUCUCAACAGUGCAAUAAUAUGAAUACAGUACCAUCCCAAUUACUGCAAUAAGGAUCC
RNAcentral lists this unclassified non-coding RNA (214 nucleotides) under Hevea brasiliensis (rubber tree). Lineage: Eukaryota; Viridiplantae; Streptophyta; Magnoliopsida; Malpighiales; Euphorbiaceae. The record is from RNAcentral.